This 499-nucleotide ribosomal RNA is filed under the name uncultured bacterium. RNAcentral's name for it is "partial 16S ribosomal RNA". It matches the Rfam family "Bacterial small subunit ribosomal RNA", at positions 28 to 507 of the family's 1533-position model. The record is from RNAcentral.
GACGAACGCUGGCGGCGUGCCUAAUACAUGCAAGUCGAGCGAAGUUUUUCUGGUGCUUGCACCGGAAAAACUUAGCGGCGAACGGGUGAGUAACACGUAAAGAACCUGCCUCAUAGACUGGGACAACUAUUGGAAACGAUAGCUAAUACCGGAUAAUAGCAUUAACUGCAUGGUUGAUGUUUAAAAGUUUGUUUUGCUAACACUAUGAGAUGGCUUUGCGGUGCAUUAGCUAGUUGGUGGGGUAAAGGCCUACCAAGGCGACGAUGCAUAGCCGACCUGAGAGGGUGAUCGGCCACACUGGGACUGAGACACGGCCCAGACUCCUACGGGAGGCAGCAGUAGGGAAUCUUCCGCAAUGGGCGAAAGCCUGACGGAGCAACGCCGCGUGAGUGAAGAAGGAUUUCGGUUCGUAAAGCUCUGUUGUUAGGGAAGAAUGAUUGUGUAGUAACGAUACACAGUAGAGACGGUACCUAACCAGAAAGCCACGGCUAACUACGUG